AGCAGCCGCGGUAAUUCCAGCUCCAAUAGCGUAUAUUAAAGUUGUUGCAGUUAAAAAGCUCGUAGUUGGAUGUCGGGGGCCGCGGCGUGUCGCCGGCGAAAGCCGGUUGCGCACGCCAGCGCCCCCUUCUUCCGGCGAGCUGCCGUGCCCUUCGCCGGGUGCGGCAGGGAACCGGACACUUACUUUGAAGAAAU
RNAcentral lists this ribosomal RNA (194 nucleotides) under uncultured Rhizophagus. RNAcentral's name for it is "partial 18S ribosomal RNA". It matches the Rfam family "Eukaryotic small subunit ribosomal RNA", at positions 569 to 766 of the family's 1831-position model. The record is from RNAcentral. Lineage: Eukaryota; Fungi; Glomeromycota; Glomeromycetes; Glomerales; Glomeraceae.